GAGAAUAACAGCGCGUUCCUCCCUUUGUGCGGUUUUGUUGUCGCAGGGACGGAAAGAUGAUCCCGCAACGUUUAUACUGAACUUUCUGGACUCUCCUAACGUGCAGACAACCUACCAUGCCAGCUCAAAAGACAUUUAAUACGAAUGUUUACAGUCUCGGGACUUCCCAAGUUCGCUCACAGCCAAUGAAAUUCCUCUUGAUGUGCUUCGUAAUGGUGGGUUUUAGCAGAAAUGCCUCUUGAGGGCCAAGAUUGCGCGGACCUUAAUGUAGAUGAUACUCGUACCGGGGUCAGCCACAAUCGGGGCAAGAGAAGCGCACCCUCACCCACCCAAGCACGUCCGCGGGGAAAGUGAAGUGCAAGUUCCGGGAUCGACAGUCCUGGUCAAAUUCGUGAACGUCUGGUGAAGCCUAUGGCAGGAGAACCGCCAGAACGGCCCUCCCAGUUUAUAGUGGGGUUCCAUUCCCGCAAACAGUUUGUAACCUGAACAGUUCACAAGUCUGAAAUGCAGCCGCAAACCAAGUUCUCACACUGAAGAUGCCUGCAGCCCCGCAACAGCUGACAAAUCCAUCCCGCUGGUCUCCCAGAUGCUCAUUUGUAUGUGCCACAUCUUCACUGAGAAAAGUAGUUUGAAGUUAAUUUUGUUACCCAAAUGUGUUUCAUCUGAGUUGCUUGACACCAAGACUGUGAGCAGCCUACUUCAGAUUCAGACGUGAAAGCCAAGGAGAGGGAUGGAAUCAGUGGUUAGAGGUGCACUUACAUGUUCUACGGACCAUUAAAAGGAACAGUGCAAGCCUUGAUUUAGAAGAUUCUCAUACUUCCUCCUUUCAGUUGAGGGAGGUUAAAUGAAGGUUUAUCCAUCCCUUCCCAAGGCACCAUAGAGGAAGGAAUCUAUGGGUUCCCCAAG
Molecule: long non-coding RNA, 906 nt
Organism: Pristis pectinata (smalltooth sawfish)
Lineage: Eukaryota; Metazoa; Chordata; Chondrichthyes; Rhinopristiformes; Pristidae
Exons: 4
Source: RefSeq, a predicted model, not a curated record